Molecule: small RNA, 132 nt
Filed under: Arabidopsis thaliana (thale cress)
Lineage: Eukaryota; Viridiplantae; Streptophyta; Magnoliopsida; Brassicales; Brassicaceae
Description: ATSL079570
Source: RNAcentral
UUUGGACAAACAUCUGAUGAUUGUUAUUUGUUAACAUCAAUUUUCACUGAAAUCUGUAGUUUUUAUUUCCUUUUUUAGAUCUCAGAAGUGCGGCGAUUACAUCUGAAAAAUCAGAAGAAUUGGGUUGUAUUU